ACAUAGCAAGUCGAGCGAGGAGAGUCCUUCGGGAUGAUCCUAGCGGCGACGGGUGAGUAACACGUGGGCAACCUGCCUCAUAGAGAGGAAUAGCCUUCCGAAAGGGAGAUUAAUACCUCAUAACAUUGCAGUUUCGCAUGGAACAGCAAUUAAAGGAGUAAUCCGCUAUGAGAUGGGCCCGCGGCGCAUUAGCUAGUUGGUGAGGUAACGGCUCACCAAGGCGACGAUGCGUAGCCGACCUGAGAGGGUGAUCGGCCACAUUGGGACUGAGACACGGCCCAGACUCCUACGGGAGGCAGCAGUGGGGAAUAUUGCACAAUGGGGGAAACCCUGAUGCAGCCAACGCCGCGUGAGUGAUGACGGCCUUCGGGUUGUAAAGCUCUGUCUUCAGGGACGAUAAUGACGGUACCUGAGGAGGAAGCCACGGCUAACUACGUGCCAGCAGCAGC
This 449-nucleotide ribosomal RNA is filed under the name uncultured bacterium. Its description in RNAcentral is "bacterial SSU rRNA". It matches the Rfam family "Bacterial small subunit ribosomal RNA", at positions 53 to 518 of the family's 1533-position model. The record is from RNAcentral.